AGAAGAUUUUUCAGAGAUCCUUGUGAGAAAACUGAAGCAAAGAAGGAAUUAAAUUUUUCUAAAACAACAUUUUGCUUAGAAUUUUAGCUUGUUGCCUACACAUCAUCAAUACUUCAGCUAAACAUCUGUUGACUUCCUAUUUGAGGCCUUGCUCCACUAAAUUAAUGAGCUCAGUAGGUCAAAUGAGAACUUCAGAAAACUCUUUGAAAACGGAAUGGAAGCAUGAGCAGAAGCCCAUGGUGUCCUGAGAAGGUUACCUGCUGAGGAAAAAAAAAAAAAAGUGGUGGGAGACCUUGAAAGCAAAAUCAUGAAGGGAAUUGUGCUUUGUCCCAGUGGCAGAAAUCACAGCUCAGAAAGAAUUUUUUCACCAGUUUGAACUACAGAUGGGUCUCAUGGGAUUUGCUUUCAAACAUAAGGGAGAUAUUCAGGCUUUCAGAUUUCAUUACCACUUUCCUCAUUAUUGUGUGCCUUGAGGAGCUAUAAAUAACACAUGGCUAAUUUGUGAGUAUGACACGUUCCAGGGGAUAUGUGUAUUUUAAUCAGGGCACCUUCUGACAUUUGGUAAUUGGUUCACAGAUUUGUUAUAUAAUUUCAUGAUUAUUAGGUUGCUAGGAGGAGAAAAAAUCUAAAUUUGUUAUCCAGAAUCUACCCUCAUUGGACCCUUGUAGUAUCUGUGGUUUUUACAGGUUUAACUACAGAUUUUGAGUCAGUGAAAAUAUAAACUAUUGUUUCAGUUUGUUUGUUUUCUAUUUCUUAUAGUUUUAGUCAUAUGAUUAGUAGCUGUGUUCUUUAUGACAUAUUUCUUCUAGUGAAAACUUCCUAUUUGUGUGUCUAUCACUAAAAUACUUGCUUUUCAGAUAUAUUUAUAUUUGGUCUGGUGAAAAAAAAAAUCAGUUUUUAUGUUGAAAGUAUGUGUUUGAUGCUGG
Molecule: long non-coding RNA, 926 nt
Filed under: Phasianus colchicus (ring-necked pheasant)
Lineage: Eukaryota; Metazoa; Chordata; Aves; Galliformes; Phasianidae
Description: lncRNA (ENSPCLG00000010846.1)
Source: RNAcentral